AACGCUAGCUACAGGCUUAACACAUGCAAGUCGAGGGGCAGCAUGGUCUUAGCUUGCUAAGGCCGAUGGCGACCGGCGCACGGGUGAGCAACACGUAUCCAACCUGCCGUCUACUCUUGGACAGCCUUCUGAAAGGAAGAUUAAUACAAGAUGGCAUCAUGAGUCCGCAUGUUCACAUGAUUAAAGGUAUUCCGGUAGACGAUGGGGAUGCGUUCCAUUAGAUAGUAGGCGGGGUAACGGCCCACCUAGUCUUCGAUGGAUAGGGGUUCUGAGAGGAAGGUCCCCCACAUUGGAACUGAGACACGGUCCAAACUCCUACGGGAGGCAGCAGUGAGGAAUAUUGGUCAAUGGACGAGAGUCUGAACCAGCCAAGUAGCGUGAAGGAUGACUGCCCUAUGGGUUGUAAACUUCUUUUAUACGGGAAUAAAGUUAGCCACGUGUGGCUUUUUGUAUGUACCGUAUGAAUAAGGAUCGGCUAACUCCGUGCCAGCAGCCGCGGUAAUACGGAGGAUCCGAGCGUUAUCCGGAUUUAUUGGGUUUAAAGGGAGCGUAGGCGGGUUGUUAAGUCAGUUGUGAAAGUUUGCGGCUCAACCGUAAAAUUGCAGUUGAAACUGGCAGUCUUGAGUACAGUAGAGGUGGGCGGAAUUCGUGGUGUAGCGGUGAAAUGCUUAGAUAUCACGAAGAACUCCGAUUG
This 694-nucleotide ribosomal RNA is filed under the name uncultured bacterium. RNAcentral describes it as "bacterial SSU rRNA". It matches the Rfam family "Bacterial small subunit ribosomal RNA", at positions 32 to 715 of the family's 1533-position model. The record is from RNAcentral.